RNAcentral lists this ribosomal RNA (306 nucleotides) under Triticum aestivum (bread wheat). RNAcentral's name for it is "partial small subunit ribosomal RNA". The record is from RNAcentral. Lineage: Eukaryota; Viridiplantae; Streptophyta; Magnoliopsida; Poales; Poaceae.
AUGCAGCUGCUGCGCCAAGUACCUGAGUACUCUUCAUGCCUAUGGUCACCUCACCACUGCCGGAGCCCGUCCUCACAUGCCCGUCGACCAUCUGCAUCUCCUUCCACCUGUCGCCCAAAAGUGAAAUUGCCCUGCUGCCCCGUGCUUGUCCUCUCAUGCAUGAUUGCAUAUGCAAAUGUAGGUGAUGUGCACAUAGUUGUAUGCGUGUAUGUAGACAUGAUUGAAGUUUACGUGAUGUGUGUCUUCAAAGAAUUUGGCAGUUUUGGCACCAGGUUUGUUUGGUCGAACACAUCAUCCCAAACAUAA